Molecule: ribosomal RNA, 130 nt
Filed under: Octodon degus (degu)
Lineage: Eukaryota; Metazoa; Chordata; Mammalia; Rodentia; Octodontidae
Source: RNAcentral
AUGGCCGUACCACCCUAAACACACCCGAUCUCGUCAGCUAAGCAGGGUCGGGCCUGGUUAGUACUUGGAUGGGAGAAUAGUAUUAAAUCUCACACCUUUUUUCUCUGUUCCAUCCCAGGUAUGAAUCAUC